GAUGAACGCUGGCGGCGUGCCUAAUACAUGCAAGUCGAGCGAACAGACGAGGAGCUUGCUCCUCUGACGUUAGCGGCGGACGGGUGAGUAACACGUGGAUAACCUACCUAUAAGACUGGGAUAACUUCGGGAAACCGGAGCUAAUACCGGAUAAUAUAUUGAACCGCAUGGUCCAAUAGUGAAAGACGGUUUUGCUGUCACUUAUAGAUGGAUCCGCGCCGCAUUAGCUAGUUGGUAAGGUAACGGCUUACCAAGGCAACGAUGCGUAGCCGACCUGAGAGGGUGAUCGGCCACACUGGAACUGAGACACGGUCCAGACUCCUACGGGAGGCAGCAGUAGGGAAUCUUCCGCAAUGGGCGAAAGCCUGACGGAGCAACGCCGCAUGAGUGAUGAAGGUCUUCGGAUCGUAAAACUCUGUUAUUAGGGAAGAACAAAUGUGUAAGUAACUAUGCACGUCUUGACGGUACCUAAUCAGAAAGCCACGGCUAACUACGUG
Molecule: ribosomal RNA, 497 nt
Filed under: uncultured bacterium
Lineage: Bacteria
Description: partial 16S ribosomal RNA
Rfam family: Bacterial small subunit ribosomal RNA
Source: RNAcentral